GGGCCCGCACAAGCGGUGGAGUAUGUGGUUUAAUUCGAUGCAACGCGAAGAACCUUACCAGGGUUUGACAUCCUGCGAAUCUCUUGGAAACAGGAGAGUGCCUUCGGGAACGCAGUGACAGGUGGUGCAUGGCUGUCGUCAGCUCGUGUCGUGAGAUGUUGGGUUAAGUCCCGCAACGAGCGCAACCCACGUCUUUAGUUGCCAGCAUUUAGUUGGGCACUCUAGAGAGACUGCCGGUGAUAAACCGGAGGAAGGUGUGGAUGACGUCAAGUCAUCAUGCCCCUUACAUCCUGGGCUACACACGUACUACAAUGCUACGGACAAAGGGCAGCAAACUCGCGAGAGCUAGCAAAUCCCAUAAACCGUGGCUCAGUUCAGAUCGUAGGCUGCAACUCGCCUACGUGAAGGAGGAAUCGCUAGUAAUCGCAGGU
Molecule: ribosomal RNA, 431 nt
Filed under: uncultured bacterium
Lineage: Bacteria
Description: bacterial SSU rRNA
Rfam family: Bacterial small subunit ribosomal RNA
Source: RNAcentral